UACGAAUUGUGCAAACGUUAUUCGGAAUCACUGGGCUUAAAGGGUGCGUAGGCUGCUAUGAAGGUCUGGUGUGAAAUCCAACGGCUCAACCGUUGAAUUGCACUGGAAACCACAUAGCUGGAGUAGGACAGAGGUGAGCGGAACUGAUGGUGGAGCGGUGAAAUGCGUUGAUAUCAUCAGGAACACCGGUGGCGAAAGCGGCUCACUGGGUCCUAACUGACGCUGAGGCACGAAAGCCAGGGGAGCAAACGGG
This 253-nucleotide ribosomal RNA is filed under the name uncultured bacterium. Its description in RNAcentral is "partial 16S ribosomal RNA". It matches the Rfam family "Bacterial small subunit ribosomal RNA", at positions 524 to 776 of the family's 1533-position model. The record is from RNAcentral.